RNAcentral lists this transfer RNA (77 nucleotides) under Puniceicoccales bacterium. RNAcentral describes it as "tRNA-Val". It matches the Rfam family "tRNA". Rfam says of the family: Transfer RNA (tRNA) molecules are approximately 80 nucleotides in length. Their secondary structure includes four short double-helical elements and three loops (D, anti-codon, and T loops). Further hydrogen bonds mediate the characteristic L-shaped molecular structure. tRNAs have two regions of fundamental functional importance: the anti-codon, which is responsible for specific mRNA codon recognition, and the 3' end, to which the tRNAs corresponding amino acid is attached (by aminoacyl-tRNA synthetases). tRNAs cope with the degeneracy of the genetic code in two manners: having more than one tRNA (with a specific anti-codon) for a particular amino acid; and 'wobble' base-pairing, i.e. permitting non-standard base-pairing at the 3rd anti-codon position. The record is from RNAcentral. Lineage: Bacteria; Pseudomonadati; Verrucomicrobiota; Opitutia; Puniceicoccales.
GGGGGGUUAGCUCAGCUGGUUAGAGCACUUGCUUCACACGCAAGGGGUCGGUGGUUCGAGUCCACUAUCUCCCACCA